GACGAACGCUGGCGGCGUGCUUAACACAUGCAAGUCGAACGGAAAGGCCCUGCUUGCCGGGUACUCGAGUGGCGAACGGGUGAGUAACACGUGGGUGAUCUGCCCUGCACUUCGGGAUAAGCCUGGGAAACUGGGUCUAAUACCGGAUAGGAGCCAUUUUUAGUGUGAUGGUUGGAAAGUUUUUUCGGUGUAGGAUGAGCUCGCGGCCUAUCAGCUUGUUGGUGGGGUAACGGCCUACCAAGGCGGCGACGGGUAGCCGGCCUGAGAGGGUGGACGGCCACAUUGGGACUGAGAUACGGCCCAGACUCCUACGGGAGGCAGCAGUGGGGAAUAUUGCACAAUGGGCGCAAGCCUGAUGCAGCGACGCCGCGUGGGGGAUGACGGCCUUCGGGUUGUAAACUCCUUUCGCUAGGGACGAAGCUUUUUGUGACGGUACCUAGAGAAGAAGCACCGGCUAACUACGUG
This 465-nucleotide ribosomal RNA is filed under the name uncultured bacterium. RNAcentral's name for it is "partial 16S ribosomal RNA". It matches the Rfam family "Bacterial small subunit ribosomal RNA", at positions 28 to 507 of the family's 1533-position model. The record is from RNAcentral.